Molecule: ribosomal RNA, 484 nt
Filed under: uncultured bacterium
Lineage: Bacteria
Description: partial 16S ribosomal RNA
Rfam family: Bacterial small subunit ribosomal RNA
Source: RNAcentral
GAUGAACGCUGGCGGCGUGCCUAAUACAUGCAAGUCGAACGAUGAACCCGGAGCUUGCUCCGGUGGAUUAGUGGCGAACGGGUGAGUAACACGUGAGUAACCUGCCCUUGACUCUGGGAUAACUGCGGGAAACUGUAGCUAAUACCGGAUACGACCCUCGGCGGCAUCGCCAGGGGGUGGAAAGAACUUCGGCCAAGGAUGGACUGGCGGCCUAUGAGCUAGUUGGGGAGGUAACGGCUCACGAAGGCGACGACGGGUAGCCGGCCUGAGAGGGUAACCGGCCACACUGGGAUUGAGCCACGGCCCAGAGUCCUACGGGAGGCAGAAGUGAGGAAUAUUGCACAAUGGGCGCAAGCCUGAUGCAGCAACGCCACGUGAGGGAGGACGGCCUUCGGGUUGUAAACCUCUUUUAGUAGGGAAGAAGCGAAAGUGACGGUACCCACAGAAGAAGCCCCGGCUAACUUCGUGCCAGCCGCCGCAGUAA